GAUGAACGCUGGCGGCGUGCCUAAUACAUGCAAGUCGAGCGAACAGACGAGGAGCUUGCUCCUCUGACGUUAGCGGCGGACGGGUGAGUAACACGUGGAUAACCUACCUAUAAGACUGGGAUAACUUCGGGAAACCGGAGCUAAUACCGGAUAAUAUAUUGAACCGCAUGGUUCAAUAGUGAAAGACGGUUUUGCUGUCACUUAUAGAUGGAUCCGCGCCGCAUUAGCUAGUUGGUAAGGUAACGGCUUACCAAGGCAACGAUGCGUAGCCGACCUGAGAGGGUGAUCGGCCACACUGGAACUGAGACACGGUCCAGACUCCUACGGGAGGCAGCAGUAGGGAAUCUUCCGCAAUGGGCGAAAGCCUGACGGAGCAACGCCGCGUGAGUGAUGAAGGUCUUCGGAUCGUAAAACUCUGUUAUUAGGGAAGAACAAAUGUGUAAGUAACUAUGCACGUCUUGACGGGACCUAAUCAGAAAGCCACGGCUAACUACG
This 495-nucleotide ribosomal RNA is filed under the name uncultured bacterium. RNAcentral's name for it is "partial 16S ribosomal RNA". It matches the Rfam family "Bacterial small subunit ribosomal RNA", at positions 28 to 505 of the family's 1533-position model. The record is from RNAcentral.